RNAcentral lists this ribosomal RNA (468 nucleotides) under uncultured bacterium. Its description in RNAcentral is "partial 16S ribosomal RNA". It matches the Rfam family "Bacterial small subunit ribosomal RNA", at positions 28 to 507 of the family's 1533-position model. The record is from RNAcentral.
GACGAACGCUGGCGGCGUGCCUAACACAUGCAAGUCGAACGGAAAGGCCCGGCUUUUGUGCGGUGGUCGAGUGGCGAAGGGGGGAGUAACACGUGAGUAACCUAUACCUGACCGAGGGAGAUCUUCAUGAAACAGGGGCUCUUACAGCAUAGGAUCUAUUGCUCCUUGGUGGGCGUUGGUUAGAUUCGGUGGUUGGGGAUGGACUAGCGGCUUAUGAGCUUGAUGGUGGGGUAGGGGGUUAGCAAGGCUUGGACGGCUAGCCGGCCUGGGCGGGUGACCGGCCACAUUACACCUGGGAUACGGCCCAGACUCGUACGGGACGCAACGGUGGGGAGUAUUACACAGUAGGCGGGAGCCAGAUGUAGCAACGCCGCGUGCGGGAAGACGUCCUUCGGGUUGUGAACUAAUGUCGUCUUAGACGAGGCGUGAGUGACGGUACCGGGUAAAGAAGCACCGGCUAACUACGUG